This 70-nucleotide transfer RNA is filed under the name Camelus bactrianus (Bactrian camel). It matches the Rfam family "tRNA". From Rfam's summary of the family: Transfer RNA (tRNA) molecules are approximately 80 nucleotides in length. Their secondary structure includes four short double-helical elements and three loops (D, anti-codon, and T loops). Further hydrogen bonds mediate the characteristic L-shaped molecular structure. tRNAs have two regions of fundamental functional importance: the anti-codon, which is responsible for specific mRNA codon recognition, and the 3' end, to which the tRNAs corresponding amino acid is attached (by aminoacyl-tRNA synthetases). tRNAs cope with the degeneracy of the genetic code in two manners: having more than one tRNA (with a specific anti-codon) for a particular amino acid; and 'wobble' base-pairing, i.e. permitting non-standard base-pairing at the 3rd anti-codon position. The record is from Rfam by way of RNAcentral. Lineage: Eukaryota; Metazoa; Chordata; Mammalia; Artiodactyla; Camelidae. RNAcentral also lists the same sequence under 1 other name.
GGGUAUAGCUCAGUGGCAGAGUGUGUGCUUAGCAUGCACAGGGUCCUGGGUUCAAUCCCCAGUACUGCCA